GCUGGACCACUUCACAGUCCCACCAGGAAUGCAGGAGGAGUCUACAUUUUCUCUCCCCUCACUAGCGCUUGUCAUCUGUCAGGUUACAGCCAUCUUAGGAUGUGUAAGAAGCAAUGCUGGCUCAAUCUCCUUCAGGACUGACUGUGUUGCACCCUCUUCAUCCUGCUAUCUGUUGACUAUAGAGGUUUGACCUUCACAUGACUGAUGGGUAAAGAGACUGUACCUCUGCUGUGCCUGUGUGUAUCAAUUCAAGGCUAUAGCUGGCACAGCUCCUUGGUCUGGAGCUCAAAGAUGUCCUCAGGCAGUUAGCCCCAUCUGCCAGGUCUGCUGUCUUCCAGGAGACCCCUCCCUCUUCUUGGAUACACAGGAAGAGAAUAGUCGGAAAGACUGCCAAUCUC
Molecule: long non-coding RNA, 398 nt
Organism: Alexandromys fortis (reed vole)
Lineage: Eukaryota; Metazoa; Chordata; Mammalia; Rodentia; Cricetidae
Exons: 3
Source: RefSeq, a predicted model, not a curated record